UAUAUUUAAAUUUUAAAUUUGUUGUUUUAUAUUUCGUUCUAUUUGUUAAAUGUAACUAUAAAAUAGAUUAUUUAAAGCUUUUUGAACUGUUAUGAAUAGUUUAAUUUUUUUACUAUAAUGUUGAAAUAUUUUAUUAUUGACGAAACAGUUGUCAAAUAUGUACCUAAAAAGUAUAGUAAGAUCAAUUUAACUAAUUUAAUAUAAAGUUAUUUAUAUAAAAAAUAAAUAAUAUGCUUUCAUUAAAAAUUAAUCCUUUAAGCUAAUUAAUUCAAAAAUUGUAAGAGUUAAGCUGAAUAUUAGCUUUAUUUAAGUAAUUUGUAUUUCAAAAAUAUUUAUAUAAAAUAGCAAAAAAAUAAAAAAAAUAAAAAAUUGUAAUAUUUAGUAUUUGUUUUUUAAUAAGUAAAGUUUUAAUAUAAAGUAUUAUUUUUAUUUAUAAAUUUUAAAAAUAUAUGUUUGUAGAUAAUAAAAUUAAAGAAUUUUAAAUGCGUUUAUUAAAUGCGCUUGCCUAAGUUAAAUAUUUAAGAUAAUUCUGGUAAAUAGAUUUUGAUAUUAGUAGUUCUAUACAUAAAAAUGUAUCCCAAUUAAAAUAAGUAAGUAGCAUAGUAAUUUAUUAACUAAUUAUUAAAGAGUUCCACAGAACAUUUUGAAGUUAUAGCAAACAAUGUAAAAAAUGAAUUAAAAUAAAAAUUUUAAUAAAAAUUAAAAUAUUAAAAUAGGGCAAGUCCUACUCUCCUUUACAAAGAGAACAUAAAUAUGUAAUUGUAUGUUUGAUUGGGGCAAUACUAUAUCUAAUUAUAUAGUAAAAGAACUAAAAUUAUUGAAAUAAUAAAAGGUUCGAGCAGGUUAACAAGCAUUAAAACUAAAUGUGUUUCAUCGUCUACUUAUCGAAAAAGUAUUGAUUGUUCAUCAAAAAAUCGAUUCGUUAGUUGGGUUAAAAUCGUUGUAAAGCAGAUUUGUUUAUAUAUUUAAUACUUAAAUAAAUUAAAAAAUUAAGUAUAGUACGCAAGGAUA
Molecule: ribosomal RNA, 1011 nt
Filed under: Vickermania ingenoplastis
Lineage: Eukaryota; Euglenozoa; Kinetoplastea; Trypanosomatida; Trypanosomatidae
Description: 12S ribosomal RNA
Rfam family: Trypanosomatid mitochondrial large subunit ribosomal RNA (bases 477-1011)
Source: RNAcentral